Molecule: ribosomal RNA, 440 nt
Filed under: uncultured bacterium
Lineage: Bacteria
Description: partial 16S ribosomal RNA
Rfam family: Bacterial small subunit ribosomal RNA
Source: RNAcentral
CCUACGGGAGGCAGCAGUGGGGAAUAUUGCACAAUGGGGGAAACCCUGAUGCAGCGACGCCGCGUGAGUGAAGAAGUAUCUCGGUACGUAAAGCUCUAUCAGCAGGGAAGAAACUGACGGUACCUUACUAAGAAGCCCCGGCUAACUAAGGGCCAGCAGCCGCGGUAAAACGUAGGGGGCCAGCGUUAACCGGAUUUAAUGGGUGUAAAGGGAGCGUAUACGGCAGAACAAGCCUGGAGUGAAAUCCCGGGGCUUAACCCCCGAACUGCUUUUGAAACUGUGCGGCUGGAGUGCAGGAGGGGUAAGUGGAAUUCCUGGUGUAGCGGUGAAAUGCGUAGAUAUUAGGAGGAACACCGGUGGCGAAGGCGGCUUACUGGACUGUAACUGACGUUGAGGCUCGAAAGCGUGGGGAGCAAACAGGAUUAGAUACCCUUGUAGUC